CGAGUGGCGGACGGGUGAGUAAUGCGUAGGAAUCUACCUAAUUGUGUGGGAUAGCCUAGGGAAACUUAGGGUAAUACCGCAUAAGCCCUACGGGGGAAAGCAGGGGACUGUUAAAGGCCUUGCGCGAUUAGAUGAGCUUAUGUCGGAUUAGCUAGUUGGUGGGGUAAAGGCCUACCAAGGCGAUGAUCCGUAGCUGGUCUGAGAGGACGACCAGCCACACUGGGACUGAGACACGGCCCAG
RNAcentral lists this ribosomal RNA (241 nucleotides) under uncultured bacterium. RNAcentral's name for it is "partial 16S ribosomal RNA". It matches the Rfam family "Bacterial small subunit ribosomal RNA", at positions 92 to 334 of the family's 1533-position model. The record is from RNAcentral.